Molecule: ribosomal RNA, 301 nt
Filed under: uncultured bacterium
Lineage: Bacteria
Description: bacterial SSU rRNA
Rfam family: Bacterial small subunit ribosomal RNA
Source: RNAcentral
AAUAAACGUUGGCGGCGUGCUUAACACAUGCAAGUCGAGCGAGAAAGGUCCUUCGGGACUGAGUACAGCGGCAAACGGGUGCGUAACACGUAGGAAUCUACCUUUUAGUGGAGAAUACCCUCGAGAAAUCGAGGUUAAUACUGCAUAUGUCUCGCAAGAGAGAAAGAUGGCCUCUUUGCUGUCGCUAAAAGAUGAGCCUGCGGACUAUUAGCUUGUUGGUGGGGUAAAGGCCUACCAAGGCGAUGAUGGAUAGCCGGCCUGAGAGGGUGUACGGCCACACUGGAACUUAGACACGGUCCAG